GUGCUUGCUUCAGCAGCACAUAUACUGAAACUAGAAUGAUCUAGAGAGGAUUAGCAUGGCCUCUGAGCAAAGAUGACACUCAAAUUUGUAAAGUGUUCCAUAUUUUU
Molecule: small nuclear RNA, 107 nt
Organism: Mastomys coucha (southern multimammate mouse)
Lineage: Eukaryota; Metazoa; Chordata; Mammalia; Rodentia; Muridae
Source: RefSeq, a predicted model, not a curated record